This 178-nucleotide small RNA is filed under the name Listeria booriae. RNAcentral's name for it is "Listeria sRNA rli28". It matches the Rfam family "Listeria sRNA rli28". The record is from Rfam by way of RNAcentral. Lineage: Bacteria; Bacillati; Bacillota; Bacilli; Caryophanales; Listeriaceae.
AGAAUCUUGCUAUAAUGAACUUAGUAGAAAAGUGAAGAUGGUGGCUAUCAACAUAAAGGCGGUGAUGCUUAUGAAAAAUAAGAUAAUCCCUUUGGAAAGGUUCAGCAUUGUCAGUUGCAGAAGCAAUUGCGCUCAUGAUUGGUUUUGGAAGCUUUACGGUUUCCUUAAUCGGUUUAGU